UAGUAUUGUGUAACAGAUUGAGUUAGAGUAGGCUGCGUCUAAGGGACUGUCAGAUAUGAUGCGUAAAUAAAGUCAUUGUUCAUUAAUACCCCGAACUGUAAAGUAUACUUUCUACAUUGGCGACGAGGAUGAACAUUGGACGCGUGAACAUUGGAAUGCUCAAGACGGACGUGGAGCAGAACGGGAAAACAAAGAGAAGCAAAUUGAAACGCAACGGAUGGACAACCGAAUUCAACUUACACAGCCUAUCUCAACGUGGUCCCAACGGCUGUUUUCCGAAAAAAAAGUCAAGGUAGUUGUUGCAGAGGAAGCGGAGGUGAGGAAUAUCUGGCCAUUGGGCGAGAGGAUAUUCGAGAAAGCUUGGAACAUCAACUACAGACUCUCUCCGGGAAUGUACGAGAUUUUCCUGAAUGCAGAAGGUACCUAUUAUUUGGAGCUAAUUUGUCGCAAGUCUCCUAUAGGAACAUGCAUGAUGUUGAACAUUGCUGCUGAAGGUGAACGCGCAAUAAGAACCACAUGCUGGUUGGAAAUGGAUUAGGUGAACAGGACGACUACCCGGGAAUGAUGAAUGACGCUGUACAUGGAUGGUCAACCCAACAUUUACCUGCUUUGACGUUGUUAUCAUCUGAACUAUGAGUGAAGACAUGUAUGGAAAAUAUAUAAUCAUAAUUGAACAAAUGUUAUAAACAGUGAGGAGAUCGAGGAACAUGUAGAGGUAAAAAUCAUAUUUGUAAUUUUAUUAGAAAGAAGGAGAGAUGUAGUAUUGUGUAACAGAUUGAGUUAGAGUAGGCUGCG
This is a long non-coding RNA of Aedes albopictus (Asian tiger mosquito), 795 nucleotides long. RefSeq lists it as uncharacterized. The record is from RefSeq and is a predicted model, not a curated record. Lineage: Eukaryota; Metazoa; Arthropoda; Insecta; Diptera; Culicidae. The transcript is spliced from 3 exons.